This 599-nucleotide long non-coding RNA is filed under the name Dasypus novemcinctus (nine-banded armadillo). RNAcentral's name for it is "lncRNA (ENSDNOG00000050562.1)". Lineage: Eukaryota; Metazoa; Chordata; Mammalia; Cingulata; Dasypodidae. The record is from RNAcentral.
CCAAGUUUUGCAGUGCCAGGGAGAGACCCAAGGUCUUUGCUCUGUCAUUUGUACAGAAAACCACCUGCCUUGCAGCAGGACUGCCUUGCAGCGGAUUGCUUUGUUGUUUAUGGUUGAACACGGUAAAACCUGCAGAACUGGAUGUGGCCUGAGCUGCUGAGGUGCCCCAAGGUUGGUACGAGUAGCAGAGAACAAAGCUGUGACGGGAUAAUCAGCAGGGCAAUAUGCGGAACGCUCUGGCUCUCGAGUUUGCAAGAAGGAAGAAGAAACUCGCACUGCUCUACUGGGAGCUGAAAGCCGAACACAAAACUCUGUACAGGACGGCGGACAAGAUGGUGGGAGAACGAUGAAUUAGGAAGCGUUCCGCAGUGUGACAUGUGCUAACAGGAAAGCAGUGUGGUUUUAUUUAUUUUCUGCCCGCCACCACUUGCCUACCCCAGGCCCUGUUUUCCCAACACAUUUCCCCCCUGUUUUUCUGAUUUAUUUGUCUUAUCCUUAAAAGCAAAUAUUCUCCUGAUCUAAGUAACUUUGGAAAGCGGUGUUGUCACUGAGUACUGGGAGACUAAGACCAAAAAAUAAAUAAAAACCUGCAAGAGACA